Molecule: long non-coding RNA, 252 nt
Filed under: Nicotiana benthamiana
Lineage: Eukaryota; Viridiplantae; Streptophyta; Magnoliopsida; Solanales; Solanaceae
Description: long non-coding RNA (NBEN_LNC042106)
Source: RNAcentral
AGGGAGGCCUAAGAGGUAUUGGGGAGAGGUGAUUAGGCAUGACAUGGCUACAAUGCGGGUUUAUGAGGACAUGACCCUGGAUAGGAAAGUAUGGAGGUCUAGUAUAAGGGUUGUGGGAUAUGGGCCCCUAGAGUUCUUCAUACUCCUCACCCGGGGUUGGGUGAGGCGUAUUUAUAGUUUUUAUGUUUUUUUAUUUUAGGUUUUUAUGUUUAGAUAAUUAUUUACGCUAUUUAUGUUGAAGUUACUAAUNNN